CGGGUGAGUAACACGUAGGCAACCUGCCCUGAAGCGGGGGAUAACAUCUGGAAACAGGUGCUAAUACCGCAUAACAACGAAAACCACAUGGUUUUCGUUUCAAAGAUGGUUUCGGCUAUCACUUCAGGAUGGGCCCGCGGUGCAUUAGCUAGUUGGUAAGGUAACGGCUUACCAAGGCGAUGAUGCAUAGCCGAGUUGAGAGACUGAUCGGCCACAUUGGGACUGAGACACGGCCCAAACUCCUACGGGAGGCAGCAGCC
RNAcentral lists this ribosomal RNA (260 nucleotides) under uncultured Lactobacillus sp. RNAcentral describes it as "partial 16S ribosomal RNA". It matches the Rfam family "Bacterial small subunit ribosomal RNA", at positions 103 to 355 of the family's 1533-position model. Lineage: Bacteria; Bacillati; Bacillota; Bacilli; Lactobacillales; Lactobacillaceae. The record is from RNAcentral.